AAUGAUCUCCUAUUAUCCACUCCCCCAUGCGUGUAGUUUAUCCCUAAUUUUUCUCUCUCCGAUUUUAACUAUGGGGUCUGUUCUCUAAUCUCUCUCUCUCGAUCUCUCCUCCUAUUUAAUCUCCACAUCUCUGAUUUUAAGGCCGGAUAGUUGUGCUUUCUCUAAUCCUUUCCCCCGAUCUUAAAGGAUAGAUGGCCCGUACUUUGUGUUGGAUGCAUAGUCAAAAUCAAAGCGAUCAAAUCAUGAGGAUCAGUACAUAUGUUCAUGAGUGCAUGCAUGGGCGAAAAAGGAAAGGAAUUAAAGCACACCUCGCUGGGGACAUCAAUCCAAAUCGGCAGCGCAUCCUCCUCCAUCUCUUCUCUCUCUGCCACCGUCUAAAGGUCAAUUGUUGUUACAUCUAAAUAAACACAUCAUGUUCAUGUUCGUAUGCGUUCUGUUUCAGGCCAUAAAGAUCAAUAAAGUACAGGCUCAACAGGGAGAAUGUAUAUGUCAUAUGCUCAGGAGGUUGCAUGCAUCUCUUCUAAGGAUUGGUCGUUGUUCAGACAAGUAUGCCCUUAAUUCUGUUGCGAACUUUCCAUCAAUCAUGUCUUUUAUGUGCGGAUGCUGACAGCCGAAAGAAAUUGAUCUCCGUUGCCGUUACGUACGUACUUACCGACUAGCGCAUCUGGUCGGAAUCACUCAAGCUGCUUGGGAUGUCAUCUUACUACAUGUACGUGCCAUUGUGUGCAAUGUGAGUUGCAAGCUACGCCAAAAUCCUCUCUUCUCGCGGUCAACAUCUGCCAAUCUGCUCCUUUUCUCUGGCUUAAUGUCGCUAAAUCUGAUGGUCUUCUUCAGCUUCUCACGGCGGAUAUCUAAGAUGGCACCGCUACAUAGAUAUCUGCUGCGGGAGCUAAGUCCUAGCUAUUUACUUGGACGUACAAGUCGGCCUCCAGAACAUGUAGCCGCGCACAAGCGAUGCUUCAUGGAAAUCGCAGUAUUGUUUUUUCGAGCGUACCUGUUGAUUUUGUGUGCACUCAAGUAUAGUUACUCUCUAAUACAUGUAUUGCAAUUUCUCUAUAGCCGAUUAUGAAUGAAACAUACAAUGUUUUAAAUGCAUGUCUCUUUGCUAUGUAUUUCUAUACCGGUGGUGUCGCCAUGCAACCCAGAUUUAUGGCAUGAGAAGCUAAAACAUAUUAGUGAAGGUUUUACCACAAACUUCGUUACAUGAACAUUGACACCUACCAGAAGAUAUAUACAUUUAUGUAUUAAUAGAUCAUUUUCUUUGAUGAAUUUUGAUAGUAUGUUCUGUUAUCAUUCAUGAUGAAACACGAUGAUACAAAAAUAUGUAGAUGUACUUUUCUUUGAGAUUGGGUUGUUACAAUAGAAAAUUUGCCAAAAUUGUUUUGUAGAAGUGUGAUUAUUUUAUUUGUAAUUAGUCGGUGCUAAUUUGUUAGCAAAACUGCAUAUAUUGGUAUCAGCAGACUAUAUCUGUAUAUAGAUUUAGCACAAAUUUACCAAAGGAAACUUAAGGUUACGAUUAUUUUAGGCGCGCAAGCUAUUGAAGAAUGAUUUUGGUUAUACUAAUAUUAGAAUGUACAGCAAACCUGCAAAUUCUGCUGCAAAUAUAUACUUCCGUACAUAUAGACUAGAAAAACUUGACGAUGACCGACCACUUUCACAAUAUUAGUAAUCAACAAGUUUCUUGCUAUAUUAUAUUCGUUAAUAAACAUAGUGAUAUAUAAAUCUGUGGAGCAACAUUAAUUCCUCAACUUUUAUUGGUUACUAUCACCAUCAAAGAUGACUUUGGUCACAACAUCAUGUAAUUAGAAGAUUGUAACUUUUGUAAAGUUUAACAUUAUUGUACACAGGCAUGGUAUCUUUCAUAUUUUUAGUGCUAAAUUAUUCAAGAAUUUAAUGUUAGCAUCACUUUAUAUGGUUCACAAAUUUUAAUAUCAGAUUGACUUCGUUUAUUAAUUUGUCGGAGAAAAGAUGAUAAUUAUAUACUGCCUUUUUACAACGACACAAGCUAUUGCAUGACGAUGUUGAUUCUACUAAGAUGGAACAACCACAGUAGUAUUAUAACCGAAUAUGAAGCAUCUAAGUUACUGUAUUCUACAGAUAAAUUAAACAUUUCCUUAACAUGUAUACCACAAAUAAGUAUAAUAAUCGAGCCACCCUAUUUUGUUAAAAAAAGGAAAUAAAAUAUAUCAUUGCAUAACUUUGAUUACAGUUAGAAGUUAAAAUGAUUAUUUGAUAAAAUUGAACCACAAGUAACUUUUGUGGGUCUAGCCGUGUGAGCGCACGGGUUGACGACUAGUAAUACUAAUCUUAAGGACACGACAUUAGAACGGGUCCUACUGUGUAGGGAAGUAUAGACUAGUCAUCCAAUCCCUACGGUCUGCGGCUUGGCAAGCGGGGUGAUAUUCCCCUCGAUAGGAGCUUCACCAUGGCCGAGUUAGGACUCACAUCCUAGAUUUGGACCAAGAUGGGCUCUUUAGUUUCCCUUGGUGUCCAAAGGCUUCAUUAGCUUGAACUUCAAUGCUUCUUGACAUAGUUGAUGUAGCCGACAGAGGAGCGGUGGUUGACUUCUACUGGUUCUUCUCCUUCGUUGUGGCUUCCCAACCAUGGCGGUUCUUCGUCCGUCUUGGGUAGAGUUGACUUCUACUGCUUGGAGAUUGCUUUGACCAGUCCCUAUUCUCAAGGUAAUACCUUACUCUUGAGAGGCAUGGCGACCGGUGUUCCUCGGGCCCGUCCAAACUUGACUAAGGUGUUCCUCCUAUUAUUGAGUGAUCAAGUAUGUCAUCCAUGAGGAUAGAAACAUACUUGCCCAAGCAUCACAAAAGCGCAAUGCUCAUGAGAUGGGUGAGAGGAGCGGGUGUUUGUGGUCCAAGCUAAUCUAGUUCUUCAUAGACAUGAUUGGUGAUGGUCAGGGCGGAGAAUUUUCCAUAGUGUAACGACUUAGAGCCGUUUUUAUGGUCUUUACCCGACCAAUUUAUGAUUCGGUGAAGCUUUGGGGUUUCAAGUAACUUAGGAUGUGAGUGAACAUCCAUCAUCUUAUCCUUAAGCACAUUCCUUAGAUGCCAACGGUCUAGCCCCUAUAUCUGGACAAAAAUCACCCUAUAUCAUCGAAGUUACCAACUCACCUAAGUCAACUCCACACUAGUCCCUCUAGUCAACUCCAAGGUCCGAGGAAAGGACCUAAUCCAAAACAUCAUAAGUAUACUAUAGCUAAGUUUCGGUGAUGCUACGUCGACACCUAUGUGAAUCAACGUGAAACCCUUGUGAUCAUAGGGCGGGAAAGGUGACGUCAAGAGCGGAGCUAACGAUCAGCACCCGACAAGCCUUUUUACCUAGGUUCGGGCCACUUACGCGUAAAACCCUACGUCGUGCUUGUGUGGUUGUAUUAAGCGUUUUUGGUGUUUGUUACAGUGACUGAUGAUAACCGUCUUCUGGCCAAUAUCCCAAGAGUCUAACCCGUUGUGAAUGAGCUAAGGGCCUCCUUUUAUAGACAAAGGGGUCACCUACAGUGCUCGGUGGUAGGUUCGCGAGAAGUUAUAGUGAACCUAGAGCGGUGCUUAUCCAUCUAUCGCUGUCAGGUGCAUUAAAUGCACAUCUUGUCCUCGUCAGUGAUAUGCUUGUGAAUACACGUAUUCGGGUGUUUCGACACCUGGACGUUGCGCUAGCGCAAGCAGAAUGCGCUGGAACUUGGGGGGCGAUGGCACUGUGGCAAGGGCGGUUGCCCUCCAGUGCCUGGCCCCAUCAUCCCGGCAAGGGAGCUUGCCGGGGGCUUCCGUUGUCAUCUCGGCAAGGGAGGCUUGCCGAGGUCUUGUACUUGAUGAGUUCAUCACGCGCACCAAAUGGGCGUAGCCUUGGUCAUCCUCCUGGGAAGGCAGGCUUGUCGAGGCCUUGAUUGUCUUCCCGGCAAGGAAGGCUUGCCGAGGUCUUGAUUACCUUGGAUGCAUCUCGUCUGGAUCCAACCAGCCUGUGGCGGCAGGGGCUCUUUGUGCCCGUGCACAAGUCUGGGGCACUAGGGACCCCAGUCUUUACUGCAUCGACAUGAGCCCCCAGGCCUGGGCCACACACGUGUGCGAAGCGUUGUUGGGCCAAGCCCAAAGAGGUGCACGGGCCUUCUUGGCCGGAUCUGCUAGCGGUUGCUUUUUUCCCCACGCCGCGCAUUGGAUGCGCGAAGUGGGAGGUCGUGUGCGGAGUGGCCUCUCCGCCUCCUGAAAUGCCCCUGCCACGCGCGUGGCAUGCACAAUUAUGAAUGGACAGGUGGUAGACGUGGUCUUGAAAGGCGCAAUAGUGGCUGGGACCGCCCGUGCAUGCACUGGUGCAGCAGGGCGGUUUUCUGUUUGCCCUUGAGCUCGUGCGAUUGGGCGAGAAGGGUGGUGGCUUCUGGAGUAAGGGAGGUUACCUCCCGCGCCCCGUACUAUAAAUUGGGAGGGUUUGCGAGGGGUUUUGUUCACCCAACUCCUCCUGAAUCCACCAACUCCUCUGCCUUGAUCUUUAGAAUCUUCUUCGGUCUACGGGUGGCGCUCGCCCCUAACCAUGGUUACAGGAUGGGGUCGGCCAUCGUUGACCGCCAGGGUGGCGAGGGGAUCCCGUUCGGAUCAUGCCACAACUUCUAGGGGCGCCGCGGCAGAAGAUGACUCAAGCGCCUGCGGGGGAGGAAGAGCGAGGGGCCGCGGUCGUCUGGAGGCCGAGGCCGGGGGAGGUAGAGCGCUACUCCAACGCCUCCGCCUCCCCGGGGCUUGCUCCUGAGGCAGUCCUCCAUGUUGCUUUAGGGGCACCCACGUGUGCUUCUCGGCUGCUGUGAAGGGAGCCGGAGCGACGCCGGCUGUCCUACCUCGAGCGAUAGCGACGAGGAGGAUAGCGGUGGUUGUGAGGUCAGUGUUGGGUUAGGGCCACGGGGUGUCAAGUUGGAGGUCGACUCCCCGGGCCCCAACUGGACGUAGACCGCACCACAGUGGCUAGCUCAUGGCUCNAAUGUAUAUGUCAUAUGCUCAGGAGGUUGCAUGCAUCUCUUCUAAGGAUUGGUCGUUGUUCAGACAAGUAUGCCCUUAAUUCUGUUGCGAACUUUCCAUCAAUCAUGUCUUUUAUGUGCGGAUGCUGACAGCCGAAAGAAAUUGAUCUCCGUUGCCGUUACGUACGUACUUACCGACUAGCGCAUCUGGUCGGAAUCACUCAAGCUGCUUGGGAUGUCAUCUUACUACAUGUACGUGCCAUUGUGUGCAAUGUGAGUUGCAAGCUACGCCAAAAUCCUCUCUUCUCGCGGUCAACAUCUGCCAAUCUGCUCCUUUUCUCUGGCUUAAUGUCGCUAAAUCUGAUGGUCUUCUUCAGCUUCUCACGGCGGAUAUCUAAGAUGGCACCGCUACAUAGAUAUCUGCUGCGGGAGCUAAGUCCUAGCUAUUUACUUGGACGUACAAGUCGGCCUCCAGAACAUGUAGCCGCGCACAAGCGAUGCUUCAUGGAAAUCGCAGUAUUGUUUUUUCGAGCGUACCUGUUGAUUUUGUGUGCACUCAAGUAUAGUUACUCUCUAAUACAUGUAUUGCAAUUUCUCUAUAGCCGAUUAUGAAUGAAACAUACAAUGUUUUAAAUG
Molecule: long non-coding RNA, 5578 nt
Filed under: Hordeum vulgare
Lineage: Eukaryota; Viridiplantae; Streptophyta; Magnoliopsida; Poales; Poaceae
Description: long non-coding RNA (HVUL_LNC015642)
Source: RNAcentral